Cercocebus atys (sooty mangabey) is the source of this 3459-nucleotide RNA transcript. It is a transcript of the gene named C-1-tetrahydrofolate synthase, cytoplasmic-like, with no coding region annotated. NCBI's taxonomy places the organism in Eukaryota, Metazoa, Chordata, Mammalia, Primates, Cercopithecidae. The record is from RefSeq and is a predicted model, not a curated record. The transcript is spliced from 2 exons.
GAUCAUCUCAAUUGAUGAAGAAAAACGACUUGAUAAAAUCCAACAUUUCUUCACAAUCAACUGGGCAUUGAAAAUACAUACCUCAAAUUAAUAAAAGCCAUCUAUGACAAAUCCAUAGCCAACAUCAUACUGAAUGAGGAUAAGGUUAAAGCAUUCCUCCUAAGAACUGAACAGGAUAUUGGUGGUGUCCAUCAUGGGCAAGCUAAUAAAGGCCAUGGCGCCAGCAGAAAUCCUGAACGGGAAGGAGGUCUCCGCGCAAAUAAGGGCAAGACUGAAGAAUCAAGUCAUUCAGUUGAAGGAGCAAGUACCUGGUUUCACACCAGACCUGGCAAUAUUACAGGUUGGCAACAGAGAUGAUUCCAAUCUUUACAUAAUGUGAAGCUGAAGGCUGCUGAAGAGAUUGGGAUGAAAGUCACCGACAUUAAGUUACCAAGAACAACCACAGAAUCUGAGGUGAUCAAGUAUAUUGUAUCUUUGAAUGAAGACUACUAUACACAGGUUCAUAGUGCAGCUACCUCUAGAUUCAGAGAAUUCCAUUACACUGAAAAGACUGAUCAAUGCUAUUGCACCUGAAAUGGAUGUGGAUGGAUUGACUAGCAUCAGUGCUGGGAAACUUGCUAGAGGUGACCUAAAUGACUGUUUCAUUCCUUGUAUGCCUAAAGGAUGCUUGGAACUCAUCAAAGAGGCAGGGGUGCAGAUUGCCAGAAGGCAUGCUGUGGUGAUUGGGCACAGUAAAAUAGUCGGGGCCCCGAUGAAUGACUUGCUUCUGUGAUACAAUGCCACAGUGACCACCUGCCGCCCCAAGACUGCCAAUCUGGAUGAAGAAGUAAUUAAGGUGACAUACUGGUGGUUGCAACUGGUUGGCCUGAAAUGGUUAAAGGAGAAUGGAUCAAACCUGGGGCAAUAGUCAUCCACUGUAGAAUCAACUAUGUCCCACAUGAUAAAAAAAAAACAAAUGGGAGAAAAGUUGUGGUUGAUGUGGCAUACGACAGAGCCUGUUCCUGGUAGCUUCAGGCCCAUGAUGGUUGCAAUGCUCAUACAGAGCACAGUAGAGAGUACCAAGUGUUUCCUGGAGAAAUUUAAGCCAGGAAAGUGGAUGAAUCAGUAUAACAAUCUUAACUUCAAGACACCUGUUCCAAGUGAUAUUGAUAUAUCACGAUCUUGUAAACUGAAGCCCAUUGGUAAGCUGGCUCGAGAAAUUUGUCUGCUGUCUGAAGAGGUAGAAUUAUAUGGUGAAACAAAGGCCAAAGUUCUGCUGUCAGCACUAGAACACCUGAAGCACCAGCCUGAUGGGAAAUACCGGGUGGUGACUGGAAUAACCCCAACACUCCGGGAGAAGGGAAAAGCACGACUACAAUCGGGCUGGUGCAAGCCCUUUUUGCCCAUAUCUACCAGAACAUUUUUGUGUGUGCGACAGCCUUCUCAGGGCCCCAUCUUUGGAAUAAAAGGUGGUGCCGCAGGAGGUGGCUACUCCCAGAUCAUUCCUAUGGAAGAGUUUAAUCUCCACCUCACAGGUGACAUCCAUGCCAUCACUGUAGCUAAUAACCUCAUUGCUGCAGCCAUUGAUGCUCAGAUAUUUCGUGAACUGCCCCAGACAGACAAGGCUCUCUUUAAUCGUUUGGUGCUAUCAGUAAAUGGAGUGAGAACGUUCUCUGAUAUCCACAUCCGAAGGUUAAAUAGACUAGGCAUAGAAAAGACUGACCCUACCACACUGACAGAUGAGGAGAUAAACAGAUUUGUAAGAUUGGACAUUGAUCCAGAAAUCAAAACUUGGCAAAGAGUGUUGGAUACCAAUGAUAGAUUCCUGAGGAAGAUCAUGAUUGGACAGGCUCCAACAAAGAAAGGUCACAUAAGGACGGCCCAGUUUGAUAUCUCUGUGGCCAGUGAAAUUAUGGCUGUCCUGGCUCUCAGCACUUCUCUAGAAGAUAUGAGAGAGAGACUGGGCAAAAUGGUGGUGGCAUCCAGUAAGAAAGGAGAGCCCAUCCGCGCUGAAGAUCUGGGGGUGGGUGGUGCAUUGAUAGUGCUUAUGAAGGACGCAAUCAAGCCCAAUCUCAUGCAGACAUUGGAGGGCACUCCAGUGCCGUUUGUCCAUGACGGCCCAUUUGCCAACAUCGCACAUGGCAAUUCCCCGAUCAUUGCAGACCGAUCGCACUCAAGCUUGUUGGCCCAGAAGGGUUUGCAGUGACGGAAGUGGGAUUUGGAGCAGACAUUGGAAUGGAAAAAUUUUUUAACAUCAAAUCCCAGUAUUCCGGCCUCCACCCUCACGUGGUGGUGCUUGUUGACAAUGUCAGUGCUCUCAAGAUGCAGGGGGCGGCCCUGUGGUCACUGCUGAAAUGCCUCUUCCCAAGGCUUACAUAGAGGAGAACCUAGGGCUGGUUGAAAAAGGCUUCAGUAACUUGAAGAAACAAAUUGAAAAUGGCAGAAUGUUUGGAAUUCCAGUAGUAGUGGCCGUGAAUGCAUUCAAGAUGGAUACAGAGACUGAGCUAGACCUCCUCAGCCACCUUUCCAGAGAACAUGGGGCUUUUGAUGCCGUGAAGUGCACUCACUGGGCAGAAGGGGGCAAAGGUGCCUUAGCCCUGGCUCAGGCCAUCUAGCGAGCAGCACAAGCACCCAGCAGUUUCCAACUCCUUUAUGACCUCAAACUCCCAGUUGAGGAUAAAAUCAGAAUCACUGCACAGAAGAUCGAUGGAGUAGACGACAUUGAAUUACUCCCCAAAGCUCAACACAAAGCUGAAGUCUACACAAAGCAGGGGUUUGGGAAUCUCCCCAUCUGCAUAGCCAAAACACAUUUGUCCUUGUCUCACAACCCAGAGCAAAAAGGUAUUCCUACAGGAUUUGUUCUGCCCAUUUGUGACAUCAAUGCCAGCAUCGGGGCUGGUUUUCUGUACCCUUUAGUAGAAACAGUGAGCACAAUGGACUCCCCACCCGGCCCUGUUUUUAUUGUACUGAUUUGGACCCUGAAACAGAACAGGUGAAUGGAUUAUUCUAAACCGAUCAUCAUCCAUCUUCAAGAAGCUACUUUGAAAGUUUGGCCAGUGUCUAUUCAGGCCCACUGGGAAUUAGGAAGUAUAAGGGAGCCAAGAGUCAGUCCCUGCCCAGAAGAUAUGAAACUAAUAGUAGGAGGUUCCCCAGAUGUCAUUUUCAGCCUUAAUUCUCAUCAUGUACAAAUAACAUAAAUCAUGCACAUGUCUAUUUACUUUAGUGAUGUUCCACAGAAUAAAAGGAAAUAGUUUUGCCAAAUAAAUAAAUAAAUAAAGGACUGAAUAAAGACAAAGAUCUCCACUCUGACCAGUCCUAUUCAACAUAUUACUGGCAGUUUUACCCAGAGGAAAGGGAUCCAAAUUUAAAAAGAAGGAGUCAUGUUAUCUCUGCUUGCUGAUGACAUAUCUAGAAAACCUAGACGUUACAUAAAAUUCAUAUACUUGAUAAACAAUUUUAGUAAAGUUUCAGGAUAUCGAA